GGGGAAUAUUGCACAAUGGGCGAAAGCCUGAUGCAGCAACGCCGCGUGAGUGAUGAAGGUCUUCGGAUUGUAAAGCUCUGUCUUUUGGGACGAUAAUGACGGUACCAAAGGAGGAAGCCACGGCUAACUACGUGCCAGCAGCCGCGGUAAUACGUAGGUGGCGAGCGUUGUCCGGAUUUACUGGGCGUAAAGGGUGCGUAGGCGGAUGUUUAAGUGAGAUGUGAAAUACCCGGGCUUAACUUGGGUGCUGCAUUUCAAACUGGAUAUCUAGAGUGCAGGAGAGGAGAAUGGAAUUCCUAGUGUAGCGGUGAAAUGCGUAGAGAUUAGGAAGAACACCAGUGGCGAAGGCGAUUCUCUGAACUGUAACUGACGCUGAGGCACGAAAGCGUGGGUAGCAAACAGGAUUAGAUACCCUGGUAGUCCACGCCGUAAACGAUGAGUACUAGGUGUAGGAGGUAUCGACCCCUUCUGUGCCGCAGUAAACACAUUAAGUACUCCGCCUGGGAAGUACGAUCGCAAGAUUAAAACUCUAAAGUGAAUUGAC
RNAcentral lists this ribosomal RNA (544 nucleotides) under uncultured bacterium. Its description in RNAcentral is "partial 16S ribosomal RNA". It matches the Rfam family "Bacterial small subunit ribosomal RNA", at positions 356 to 914 of the family's 1533-position model. The record is from RNAcentral.